GGUCCCAAUGAAGAAUGAUGUUUAUAUAGAAUAAAAGUAGUGGGCUGAUUUCCGCUGAUGACUAAACCAAUUCUGAGGGAUU
Molecule: non-coding RNA, 82 nt
Organism: Jatropha curcas
Lineage: Eukaryota; Viridiplantae; Streptophyta; Magnoliopsida; Malpighiales; Euphorbiaceae
Source: Rfam